RNAcentral lists this small RNA (311 nucleotides) under Pongo abelii (Sumatran orangutan). RNAcentral describes it as "processed transcript". Lineage: Eukaryota; Metazoa; Chordata; Mammalia; Primates; Hominidae. The record is from RNAcentral.
CCGGUUUCAGAGGUGGAUUGGGCUCUAGCAUGCUGGCCCUGUGGCUUGGCGACUGUCGCAGUCUCCCCGAGCGGCACUCUCCCCCCUGGUCCAGAGGGCAUCCUGGCCGUUUCACCCGGGGACUUGAACUUGCCAUUGGACUGAGCUCUUUCUCAGAAGCUGCUACAAGAUGACACCUCAUGUCCUUGCCCUCUUCGUGUGCUUUUCCAAGCCUUCCUAUUCCACUCAGGGCUGUGGGGUGGUGGUUGCCCUACCUGUUUUUGCCAAAAAUAAAUUGUUUAAAACUUUUCAUAUUAAAAACGUUACAAAGU